GCCUGGGUGGCUCAGUCUGUUAAGCGGCUGACUUUGGCUCAGGUCAAAGUGGGUUCGAGCCCCACAUCAGGCU
This 73-nucleotide transfer RNA is filed under the name Felis catus (domestic cat). It matches the Rfam family "tRNA". From Rfam's summary of the family: Transfer RNA (tRNA) molecules are approximately 80 nucleotides in length. The record is from Rfam by way of RNAcentral. Lineage: Eukaryota; Metazoa; Chordata; Mammalia; Carnivora; Felidae. RNAcentral also lists the same sequence under 2 other names.